CGCGGAAAUCCGGUUACCGCCAUUUUAGAGGGUGGACUGUUCAGCGUGUUUUGCUGAACGCGUUCGAAUGUUCCAGUGCUUUCUACGUACAUUUCACAAGUAACUGAAUUAUUUUCUGCGUUAUUGCGGUAGACUUAGCAAUUCAAUAUGAGUUACGGCAGGCCUCCGCCAGACGUCGAGGGUAUGACUUCUUUAAAAGUCGACAAUCUGACGUACCGUACGUCUCCUGAAGCCCUACGGCGAGUUUUCGAAAAGUACGGUCGGGUCGGGGAUGUUUACAUCCCAAGAGACCCGUACACGAAAGAGAGCCGCGGGUUCGCCUUCGUCAGGUUCCACGAUAAACGGGACGCAGAGGAUGCGAUGGACGCUAUGGACGGUGCGCAGCUGGACGGGCGCGAACUGCGCGUGCAGAUGGCGAGAUACGGGCGCCCGCCAGAGUCCCACAACAGCCGUCGCGGGGCCCAGCCGAGGAGAUAUGGUGGUGGUGGAGGUGGAGGCGGAUACGGUCGAAGCCGCAGUAGUCCUCGACGCAGGAGGCGCAGCAAGUCCAGAAGCAGGAGUCGAUCCCGUUCCCGCAGCAGAUCCCGCUACAGCCGAUCAAGAUCCAAGUCGUACUCCCGUUCACGUUCCAAAUCCCGCACACCACGCAGGAGCAAGUCGAAAUCGGCUUCCAGGUCCCGUUCAAGAUCCAAGUCAAAGUCCCGCUCCAGGAGUCACACUCCCCGAUCAAACAAAGGGUCCAAAUCAAGAUCUAGAAGCAGAUCCAUAAGCAAACCCAAAUCUCCAGAGGCGAAUGGAGAUACCGGUGAAUCGUGAAAAUUGGCUGCUGAUUCCUGUUUGCAAAAGAGGAGUUUGGGGCAGUUUGAGAGCAGUUAGUGUGUGAACCAACCAUUGGCUGCCUGCUGCUGAUUGGUGUUUGCUAUGGAGCAGGUCGGUCUCAUUGAGUGUUGAGGUGGUGUUGAGAUGAUGUCACAUCGUUGAAACUUCAAGGAUCACAUUGAACGAUGUCAUCUUAUGAGGAUACCGAAAUAAUCCAUAUAUCUGACCGAAAGGCGCAGUUGCGGCGCAGUUGUGUAGCAGUUGAGUUUUGCUGGUUAGCUGUUAAGGUGGUGCGGUGCAGAGUGCUUGGCUGUUUCCAGUUUUCUCCUGAUUGCUCCUGUUAACAUCUUAAUUUGACUUUAAGAUUUGGCUACAGCAUUUUAGUUUUUUUUUUUUUUUUGCAGAAAGAUCCUGUUGCAAACGUAAUAUGAGCGCAUUACACAUCGGAGGUUAAUCGAGAUUAGAGAUAUAUAUUUUGAUUGCAUUUUUCAUUGUCUGUGAAUUUCUGUGUGAAUGCCAAUAAAGGUCUUUUUUGAGCAUGAAA
This is an RNA transcript of Misgurnus anguillicaudatus (oriental weatherfish), 1363 nucleotides long. It is a transcript of the gene named serine and arginine rich splicing factor 2a, with no coding region annotated. The record is from RefSeq and is a predicted model, not a curated record. NCBI's taxonomy places the organism in Eukaryota, Metazoa, Chordata, Actinopteri, Cypriniformes, Cobitidae.